Molecule: transfer-messenger RNA, 350 nt
Filed under: Dehalococcoidia
Lineage: Bacteria; Bacillati; Chloroflexota
Also listed under: 1 other name
Description: JACQUE01 sp016210425 Standard tmRNA
Rfam family: transfer-messenger RNA
About the family: Bacterial tmRNA, also known as 10Sa RNA or SsrA, is named for its dual tRNA and mRNA-like properties. Its role is to liberate the mRNA from a stalled ribosome.
Source: RNAcentral
GGGGACGACGGGUUUCGACAGGGAACGCUGUUGCAGGACUGCAGGCCGAGGUGCCAUCACCCUCGCUAAUCAGGUGGCAAAAAAGUAGCUGGCGAAAAAGAGCUAGCACUGGCCGCGUAAGCGGCCACGUCCAACCUCACCUCACCCCGAUGGGUGGGGCUUGGGCGACGAAAAGUCGGGGUGCUGCGGCCCAGACGUCGCUAAGGGUCGCCUAAGACUAGAGACUGUGCGAGGUUGCCAUCCUGCCGACGGAGGGCAACUCCGCAAGAUCAAGUAGUCGGAUAAGCUUGUAGGAUGUCCUGGGCAAACUUCCUUUGGACGGGGAGUUCGACUCUCCCCCGUCUCCACCA